UCCGGUUGAUCCUGCCAGAGGUUACUGCUAUCGGGGUCCGAAUAAGCCAUGCGAGUCGAGAGGGGUAAGCCCUCGGCGCACUGCUCAGUAACACGCGGAUAACUUGCCCUUGGGACUGGGAUAACCCCGGGAAACUGGGACUAAUACCGGAUAGAUCAAAGAAACUGGAAUGUUCUUUGGUCCAAAACUCUGGUGCCCAAGGAUAGGUCUGCGGCCUAUCAGGUAGUAGUGGGUGUAACGUACCUACUAGCCUACGACGGGUAAGGGUUGUGAGAGCAAAGUCCCUGAGAUGGAUUCUGAGACAUGAAUCCAGGCCCUACGGGGUGCAGCAGGCGCGAAAACUUUACACUGCGGGAAACCGCGAUAAGGGGACCCCGAGUGCCAGCACCUAGUGCUGGCUGUCCAGCUGUCCAAAUAACAGUUGUUAGCAAGGGCCGGGCAAGACCGGUGCCAGCCGCCACGGUAACACCGGCGGCCCGAGUGGUAGCCGUUAUUAUUGGGUUUAAAGGGUCCGUAGCCGGCCUAUUAAGUCUCUUGGGAAAUCUGGCGGCUUAACCGUCAGGCGUCCAAGAGAUACUGGUAGGCUUGGGACCGGGAGAGGUGGGAGGUACUCCAGGGGUAGGGGUGAAAUCUCGUAAUCCUUGGGGGACCACCGAUGGCGAAGGCAUCCCACCAGAACGGGUCCGACGGUGAGGGACGAAAGCUGGGGGCACGAACCGGAUUAGAUACCCGGGUAGUCCCAGCUGUAAACGAUGCUCGCUAGGUGUCAGGUGCGGUGCGACCGCAUCUGGUGCCGCAGUGAAAACUUGAAGCGAGUCACCUGGGAAGUACGGUCGCAAGGCUGAAACUUAAAGGA
RNAcentral lists this ribosomal RNA (856 nucleotides) under uncultured ANME-2 cluster archaeon. RNAcentral's name for it is "bacterial SSU rRNA". It matches the Rfam family "Archaeal small subunit ribosomal RNA", at positions 1 to 863 of the family's 1478-position model. Lineage: Archaea; Methanobacteriati; Methanobacteriota; Methanomicrobia; Methanosarcinales. The record is from RNAcentral.